This 253-nucleotide ribosomal RNA is filed under the name uncultured bacterium. RNAcentral's name for it is "partial 16S ribosomal RNA". It matches the Rfam family "Bacterial small subunit ribosomal RNA", at positions 524 to 776 of the family's 1533-position model. The record is from RNAcentral.
UACGGAGGGGGCAAGCGUUGUUCGGAAUUAUUGGGCGUAAAGAGCUCGUAGGCGGUUUGUCGCGUCGGCCGUGAAAUCUCCACGCUUAACGUGGAGCGUGCGGUCGAUACGGGCAGACUUGAGUUCGGUAGGGGAGACUGGAAUUCCUGGUGUAGCGGUGAAAUGCGCAGAUAUCAGGAGGAACACCGGUGGCGAAGGCGGGUCUCUGGGCCGAUACUGACGCUGAGGAGCGAAAGCGUGGGGAGCGAACAGG